Long non-coding RNA from Callorhinus ursinus (northern fur seal), 1222 nucleotides. RefSeq lists it as uncharacterized. Lineage: Eukaryota; Metazoa; Chordata; Mammalia; Carnivora; Otariidae. The record is from RefSeq and is a predicted model, not a curated record.
GUAUCAAAAGUAUACUUAUAAAAUGAAGCAAAGAUCUCUUCUAUCUCUUCAUUGAAAAAGACUGUCUAAUACAGGAAAUAAAUUUUGAAGAUUUGGUUAAACUCACCUAUGGAGUUAUGGUGCCAUGACUUGGUACAGAAUUAAAUUCAUCAUUGGACCCCUGGAACCUCUCCUCCAGGACCUCAAGUAUACACAUCUAAAGACUUUGUUUCACUCUUGACUGAUUAGGGAUCCAAUGGAAGCUGGGUAAUCAAGAAGCCCAUGUUCCACCUGCCAGCUUCAAGAUCUCACUACUUUUGCCAAUUCAGGAAUCAGAAAGUUGCAGCCUCAGUUGUUGGUGCCAAACUUUGUGUACCUGAUUCGCACCAUCAGGAUGAAGGCCUGCCUUCCCUCCUAUUUGACUCAGUUCUAAAUUCACUUUUCACGAAAAGUGAAAUAUUAGCCUGUCUUCAACCUUCAAAAAGAUGAGCCACAUUUUCUGACUUAUACAAGGUAUUUUAAAAAACUAAUUUUAGGGAUUGGCAGAUCUGUGUAAUCCUGGCUUGUUGAAAAGUAUAUGAAUAGAUUUCCACAUGAGCUUGGGAAAUAUGAAUAAAUAUAAUGUGUAAAACACUGUCAAACUCAGAUAUUUAUCUGUGUACUGCAGAAGUUUACUAUCUAUUUUUCUCUGCCUAAAUACAUGGCUAAUCAGUUAAUGCUAAUUAAAUGUUAUUAUUUCUGCAACAAAUUAUAAAAUAAAAUAAAAGUAAAGGAAGUGGGAAAUAUAGUGUAUUUUUCCAUGUAGCUGUGAAGAGAUAUGAAAUCUGUAGCAGGGCAUAAAUGUACAUGGUCAAUUCUCCUAAGUCAGUUUUGAAGCAUAUACCAUUAUGAAAGAAGAUGCUGGUUAUACAAUGUGAAACUGGGAGCCUGUAUUGCCAUCAGUAUGAGUUACGAUUCUGAAGGUCUAACUCUAGGUUAGCAAUCAGACGUAAAGGACUUUCCUCCUAGAUGUUUUAGAUCGCCCAGUCAAAUUUUAAGAAAAACCUCCAUGAUUCCUAACUUGAUACCCACUUUUCCUGUAUGCCCAUUAUUAAUAACAUAUAUCCAGUAUUUAAAAUUUAUAUUUAACAACAUAUUUUAUUUUUAUUGUCCUAGAACCAGAAUUGUGGGAUUUUAGGACUAGAAGAGACCUGACAGAUUAUCUGAUCCACUUGUUUCAUUUUGCAUAAAAGGGAAUUGUUUU